AUACGAAGGGGGCUAGCGUUGUUCGGAAUUACUGGGCGUAAAGCGCAUGUAGGCGGACAUUUAAGUCAGGGGUGAAAUCCCGGGGCUCAACCGUGGAAUUGCACUUGAUACUGCAUUGCUUGAGUUCGGGAGAGGGUAGUGGAAUUCCAGGUGUAGGAGUGAAAUCCGUAGAGAUCUGGAGGAACACCAGUGGCGAAGGCGACUACCUGGACCGAUACUGACACUGAGGAGCGAAAGCGUGGGGAGC
RNAcentral lists this ribosomal RNA (247 nucleotides) under uncultured bacterium. RNAcentral describes it as "partial 16S ribosomal RNA". It matches the Rfam family "Bacterial small subunit ribosomal RNA", at positions 523 to 769 of the family's 1533-position model. The record is from RNAcentral.